Homo sapiens (human) is the source of this 117-nucleotide non-coding RNA. It matches the Rfam family "Metazoan signal recognition particle RNA". Rfam says of the family: The signal recognition particle (SRP) is a universally conserved ribonucleoprotein. It is involved in the co-translational targeting of proteins to membranes. NCBI's taxonomy places the organism in Eukaryota, Metazoa, Chordata, Mammalia, Primates, Hominidae. The record is from Rfam.
GCUGGGUGUGGUGGCUCACACCUGUAAUCCCAGAACUUUGGGAGGCUGAGGCAGGUGGAUCACCUGAGGUCAGGAGUUUGAGACCAGCCUGACCAACAUGGUGAAACCCUGUCUCUA